RNAcentral lists this transfer RNA (76 nucleotides) under uncultured Rubrobacteraceae bacterium. RNAcentral's name for it is "tRNA-Trp-CCA". It matches the Rfam family "tRNA". From Rfam's summary of the family: Transfer RNA (tRNA) molecules are approximately 80 nucleotides in length. Their secondary structure includes four short double-helical elements and three loops (D, anti-codon, and T loops). Lineage: Bacteria; Bacillati; Actinomycetota; Rubrobacteria; Rubrobacterales; Rubrobacteraceae. The record is from RNAcentral.
AGGACGUUAGCUCAGCAAGAAGAGCAUCGGUCUCCAAAACCGAAGGUCGCAGGUUCAAGCCCUACACGUCCCGCUA